GAUGAACGCUGGCGGCGUGCCUAAUACAUGCAAGUCGAGCGAACAGACGAGGAGCUUGCUCCUCUGACGUUAGCGGCGGACGGGUGAGUAACACGUGGAUAACCUACCUAUAAGACUGGGAUAACUUCGGGAAACCGGAGCUAAUACCGGAUGAUAUUUUGAACCGCAUGGUUCAAUAGUGAAAGACGGUUUUGCUGUCACUUAUAGAUGGAUCCGCGCUGCAUUAGCUAGUUGGUAAGGUAACGGCUUACCAAGGCGACGAUGCGUAGCCGACCUGAGAGGGUGAUCGGCCACACUGGAACUGAGACACGGUCCAGACUCCUACGGGAGGCAGCAGUAGGGAAUCUUCCGCAAUGGGCGAAAGCCUGACGGAGCAACGCCGCGUGAGUGAUGAAGGUCUUCGGAUCGUAAAACUCUGUUAUUAGGGAAGAACAAAUGUGUAAGUAACUAUGCACGUCUUGACGGUACCUAAUCAGAAAGCCACGGCUAACUACGUG
Molecule: ribosomal RNA, 497 nt
Filed under: uncultured bacterium
Lineage: Bacteria
Description: partial 16S ribosomal RNA
Rfam family: Bacterial small subunit ribosomal RNA
Source: RNAcentral